GCCAGGCCUGAAGGGCUAGGCCACCGCUGAACUACAUUUCCCAGCAGGCAACGCGGCCGCAGUUUCGCUUCCAAAAGGAGGAAGCUAUUCCCCAUGUCAUGAAGACCCCAUGGAGACAGCCAUGUGUUGAGGAACACAGCGUCCUGCCAGCAGCCAGCACCCACUUGCCAGCCUUUCAUGGAGGCAUUUGUUGAAAUGGAGGUGCCAAAAGAUUGAAGAGAUGUGGAUUGCUGACCCACUGCAUGAAGGUGGUUGCCCUACAGAGUCACCUGGACCUGCACUGACUUGGUAUAAAGCCCUUCAUCACCUACUGCUCUCAAAUCCCAAGGAUCGACAGGCCGUGUCUUCGUAUCUAAGUUUGGAAAGAACCCAGCUCUAUGAGGUUUGAUCUGUUUUGUUUGUGGAUGAGGAAGCAAGCACAAGGAGUAAAGUGGCCAAGGUGACAUGACCAUGAAUUAUCAGAAUCCAGACUCAAUGCUCCACCUUAUCUGAACUAACAGAGUUCUGAGAAGUGCCCCAUGUAGUAAGUUCCAGCAUCCCUCUGAGAUGUUGCGGAUUCAGUUUUAGGCCACCAUAGUAAAAUGAAUAUUGCAACAAAGCAGGUUACACACACUUUUGUUUUCCCAAUGUAAUAGA
Long non-coding RNA from Homo sapiens (human), 636 nucleotides. RefSeq annotates it as SMARCAL1 antisense RNA 1. The record is from RefSeq and is a predicted model, not a curated record. Lineage: Eukaryota; Metazoa; Chordata; Mammalia; Primates; Hominidae. The transcript is spliced from 5 exons.